This 497-nucleotide ribosomal RNA is filed under the name uncultured bacterium. RNAcentral's name for it is "partial 16S ribosomal RNA". It matches the Rfam family "Bacterial small subunit ribosomal RNA", at positions 28 to 507 of the family's 1533-position model. The record is from RNAcentral.
GAUGAACGCUGGCGGCGUGCCUAAUACAUGCAAGUCGAGCGAACAGACGAGGAGCUUGCUCCUCUGACGUUAGCGGCGGACGGGUGAGUAACACGUGGAUAACCUACCUAUAAGACUGGGAUAACUUCGGGAAACCGGAGCUAAUACCGGAUAAUAUAUUGAACCGCAUGGUUCAAUAGUGAAAGACGGUUUUGCUGUCACUUAUAGAUGGAUCCGCGCCGCAUUAGCUAGUUGGUAAGGUAACGGCUUACCAAGGCAACGAUGCGUAGCCGACCUGAGAGGGUGAUCGGCCACACUGGAAGUGAGACACGGUCCAGACUCCGACGGGAGGCAGCAGUAGGGAAUCUUCCGCGAUGGGCGAAAGCCUGACGGAGCAACGCCGCGUGAGUGAUGAAGGUCUUCGGAUCGUAAAACUCUGUUAUUAGGGAAGAACAAAUGUGUAAGUAACUAUGCACGUCUUGACGGUACCUAAUCAGAAAGCCACGGCUAACUACGUG